Molecule: transfer RNA, 74 nt
Filed under: Candidatus Bathyarchaeota archaeon
Lineage: Archaea; Thermoproteati; Candidatus Bathyarchaeota
Description: tRNA-Lys
Rfam family: tRNA
About the family: Transfer RNA (tRNA) molecules are approximately 80 nucleotides in length. Their secondary structure includes four short double-helical elements and three loops (D, anti-codon, and T loops). Further hydrogen bonds mediate the characteristic L-shaped molecular structure. tRNAs have two regions of fundamental functional importance: the anti-codon, which is responsible for specific mRNA codon recognition, and the 3' end, to which the tRNAs corresponding amino acid is attached (by aminoacyl-tRNA synthetases). tRNAs cope with the degeneracy of the genetic code in two manners: having more than one tRNA (with a specific anti-codon) for a particular amino acid; and 'wobble' base-pairing, i.e. permitting non-standard base-pairing at the 3rd anti-codon position.
Source: RNAcentral
GGGCCUCUAGCUCAGCUAGGCAGAGCACUGGGCUCUUAACCCAGGGGUCGGGGGUUCGAUUCCCCCGAGGCCCG